AGCGAACGCUGGCGGCAGGCUUAACACAUGCAAGUCGAACGCCCCGCAAGGGGAGUGGCAGACGGGUGAGUAACACGUGGGAACGUACCCUUUGGUUCGGAAUAACUUGGGGAAACUCAAGCUAAUACCGGAUAAGCCCUUAUGGGGAAAGGUUUACUGCCGAAGGAUCGGCCCGCGUCUGAUUAGCUAGAUGGUGAGGUAAUUGCUCACCAAGGCGACGAUCAGUAGCUGGUCUGAGAGGAUGAUCAGCCACACUGGGACUGAGACACGGCACAGACUCCUACGGGAGGCAGCAGUGGGGAAUAUUGGACAAUGGGGGCAACCCUGAUCCAGCCAUGCCGCGUGAGUGAUGAAGGCCUUAGGGUUGUAAAGCUCUUUUACCCGGGACGAUAAUGACUGUACCGGGAGAAUAAGCCCCGGCUAACUUCGUGCCAGCAGCCGCAGUAA
RNAcentral lists this ribosomal RNA (447 nucleotides) under uncultured bacterium. Its description in RNAcentral is "partial 16S ribosomal RNA". It matches the Rfam family "Bacterial small subunit ribosomal RNA", at positions 29 to 523 of the family's 1533-position model. The record is from RNAcentral.